ACACGUAGGGGCCUGACGUUGUUCGGAAUCAUUGGGCGUAAAGGGCGCGCAGGCGGCCGUCCAAGUCCGGUGUUAAAUGGUCGGGCUCAACCCGAUCAUGCGCUGGAAACUGGGCGGCUGGAGUCCCGGAGGGGAUGCCGGAAUUCCAGGUGUAGGGGUGAAAUCUGUAGAUAUCUGGAAGAACACCGAUGGCGAAGGCAGGCAUCGCGCCGGAGACUGACGCUGAGGCGCGAAGGCGCGGGGAGCGAACAGGUUUAGAUACCCUGGUAGUCCGCGCAGUAAACGAUGCGCACCAGGUGUCGGGCGGCAGCGCCCGGUACCGGAGCAAACGCGAUGAGUGCGCCGCCUGGGGAGUAUGCCCGCAAGGGUGAAACUCAAAGGAAUUGACGGGG
RNAcentral lists this ribosomal RNA (392 nucleotides) under uncultured bacterium. Its description in RNAcentral is "partial 16S ribosomal RNA". It matches the Rfam family "Bacterial small subunit ribosomal RNA", at positions 523 to 918 of the family's 1533-position model. The record is from RNAcentral.